AAAAAAUUGAGAGAGGGGUUGACACAAAUAUGACAUUUGCUGGUAAGGCACGUAAUGGAGCGGUGACCACAUAAGAGGAUUCGUUGUACAAGAAGUAUGUCAAGGAGCGAGAACGGAAACAUUUAACCAAAACCCAAAUAUUCCUCCCCAAGUUCCUUCCUUUACAUGUUAAGUGCUAAAAAAAAAGGGAAACAACCACAAAGUUGGCAACGUUUUCCACCAUUAUAUCCUUUCCCCCUUUCUAUUGAACUUUGACUUUAUCGGACUUUAAGUUCACACAUAGUGAGACCCCUCGGCCGUAGCAGUUUAAACCUUUUUAAAAUACAGAAUGGAUUGAAGGCAACUGCAUUUGAUGCCUUUUCCUCCUUUUUCAUUUGCACUGAUUAUUAUUAAAUUAUUCAUUUUUUUUUUUUAGCGGAUAAAAAGUUAGGAAGAUCGUGUUCAAUAUCCUUUGACUCGCCAACUGGUAGAGUCGUUCUAUAGGCACACGGACCGCUGAACGAAUGGAGAUGGUAAAUAUGCGCCAUUAACUUGCUGUUCUCACUGAUGUUCAAUCGAGGGAAAUAAAAGAAAAAGUGGAAGCAGAUGAUAACCGGACUGAUUCCGAUCAAUUGAGAAUUUUCUCAAAUGACGACAAAAAUAUGUGCUACCCCACCCACAUCCUACUGGGAGUGACCAGUCCUAUUUGUCUUUUAUCUCAGAAAUGUACUCCGAAUAGUUACCAAAAGGGUUUUUCUAAACAUUUUUUUUUCUCUUUCCGUUUCCACUAGGAUUGCUUUAGUUGUCGGUCGUCUCGCUAGAUGGCACAAUCGAAAAGGUUAUUUGUACGCCGCUAGGUGGCUAAAAGUGUGUCCAACUCCAACACAUGUCCAACAGGUGGCGCGAAUCGAUAAACACUAACAUUCAUUCACAGUAUUCAGCCAUUUUUGUUGUGUUGGGUUUCCAACUUUCCUAGUGAAAUUUUGUUGCUAUACAAUACAAUACAAUUUAAUUUCUCGACAUUUCGCGUCAUUAACAUUAAAAAGGUUUUCUAGCCUAUAAUUUCCAUUUGCAUUUGGUCAAUUGAUUUGAUCGGGCGAGUCUUGAAACCUUUGUAAAAUUUCCCGAAAUGUCGUGCCUGUACCAGUUGUCGUGUUACCUCCUGCAGAAACACUUUACAUGGAAAGUAUAUUGAAGUCAUUUUGAGACACUACAUAGUUUUGGUUACUCCCAGUAUGUCCAAUGUGUAGCAUGACUAGCAUCACAUUGAUUGUAGUCCUGGAAGAACUGCUACUUUGCAUCACCACAGUUUAAAACAUUUCAGCGACAGAGUUCCACUACAGCAUAUCCUUUACAGAUGUGGCUGAAAUUAUGUCUGCUAGAUGGCGCGAGUGUCUUCGUUACUCAAGACGAAAUUCCGCCAUUUCUUAAAACACUGAUUGGAAACCACAUGUUGAAAACGUAUCGUUGGAUUGGAUACUUAAUACGGCGUACUUUUCUUUCUUGACAUUUUUAUUCGUAAUAAUGGUAUCUAUCUGGUAACAGCCUAUAAUUUCUACAUGGCAAUUUCAUCUGAUCAUGUGGCCUGAGCAGCUGAACAAAUUUGCCAAAAUGUCUCUUUUUCCUGUACCAGCUUCACGUUUGUCAGAAACACUUCAGAACAAUUCAGGAUUAACACCCUGGUAUCUGGUAACAGCCUAUAAUUUCUACAUGGCAAUUUCAUCUGAUCAUGUGGCCUGAGCAGCUGAACAUUUUGCCAAAAUGUCUCUUUUUCCUGUACCAGCUUCACGUUUGUCAGAAACACUUCAGAACAAUUUGGGAUUAACACCCUGGUGGAGUUUGAGCUUCUUUGUUGCUGCCCAACUUACACAUGGAUUUGACGUAGCCAGCUGAGGGCUUUAAUUCUUGUUGAUCAUGUAUGUUCGUGUAGUUGCUGUCCGAUGUGGCACGUUGUUGCAGCCUAUGCUGGUGAAAGAUCUUUCUAUAUCAAGUUCAAUUGGCCGUUCCUUGGUGAUGUUGUGUUACCGAAGUUGCAUCAUAUUUUGUUAAAUUGUCAUCGCGACUAUUGCAGUUUAUAAGUUCAGGAGCAACAAAAAAAAUUUGGGAUGUUUAUAUCAACAAAUAAUAAACAUGUUUCCGGGAUUGGGAAAGGAAAGUAGAGGAUGUUGGAGGGGGGGAGGGAGGAUAUUUCAAGUUUGGAUAAAAAUUCAGUUAAUCUAUAACCCUACAAAUGUUGCCCUACCAAUUAAUCUCCAAACCCCACAAACAUAUACCUUCCAAUGCUUCAAAUCCUGAAAACAUACACCUACUAACCCUUAAAUUUAUACCUUUAACCCUAAAAACCAAUGUUAUCACA
This 2335-nucleotide long non-coding RNA is filed under the name Daphnia pulicaria. RNAcentral's name for it is "uncharacterized LOC124314903". The record is from RNAcentral. Lineage: Eukaryota; Metazoa; Arthropoda; Branchiopoda; Diplostraca; Daphniidae.